GGCAUACAUAAAUUGAUAUGCUCAGAAGUUCAAACCUUUUUUUCCUCAUUCUUUUUCAGAUUUCAUUCAUGACUGUACCCAGUGUACAGAAUCAAAUUAGCACAGAAACCUAUGGUUUGAAAAACCCAAAGAACACCGUUUUUGAGGAGGAAAUUAUACACUACUCCAGUAUUUUUUUGCCAACAAAACCCAAUGAAUUAUAUGGUCCAUGGAGUCAUGAAGAGUCAGACAUCACUGAAUGACAACAACAUUAAUAAACUCCUAUGAAAUAUUGAUUUGCA
This 281-nucleotide long non-coding RNA is filed under the name Monodelphis domestica (gray short-tailed opossum). RNAcentral's name for it is "lncRNA (ENSMODG00000051151.1)". Lineage: Eukaryota; Metazoa; Chordata; Mammalia; Didelphimorphia; Didelphidae. The record is from RNAcentral.